CGAAACCUGGCGGCGUGCCUAAUACAUGCAAGUCGAGCGGACCAAGGGAGCUUGCUCCUAGAGGUUAGCGGCGAACGGGUGAGUAACACGUGGGCAACCUGCCUGUAAGACUGGGAUAACAUCGAGAAAUCGGUGCUAAUACCGGAUAAUAAAAAGAACUGCAUGGUUCUUUUUUGAAAGAUGGUUUCGGCUAUCACUUACAGAUGGGCCCGCGGCGCAUUAGCUAGUUGGUGAGGUAACGGCUCACCAAGGCGACGAUGCGUAGCCGACCUGAGAGGGUGAUCGGCCACACUGGGACUGAGACACGGCCCAGACUCCUACGGGAGGCAGCAGUAGGGAAUCUUCCGCAAUGGACGAAAGUCUGACGGAGCAACGCCGCGUGAGUGAUGAAGGUUUUCGGAUCGUAAAACUCGGUUGUUAGGGAAGAACAAGUGCCGUUCGAAAGGGCGGCACCUUGACGGUACCUAACGAGAAAGCCACGGCUAACUACGUGCCAGCAGCCGCGGUAAUACGUAGGUGGCAAGCGUUGUCCGGAAUUAUUGGGCGUAAAGCGCGCGCAGGCGGUCUCUUAAGUCUGAUGUGAAAGCCCCCGGCUCAACCGGGGAGGGUCAUUGGAAACUGGGAGACUUGAGUACAGAAGAGGAGAGUGGAAUUCCACGUGUAGCGGUGAAAUGCGUAGAGAUGUGGAGGAACACCCAGUGGCGAAGGCGACUCUCUGGUCUGUAACUGACGCUGAGGCGCGAAAGCGUGGGGAGCAAACAGGAUUAGAUUACCCUGGUAGUCCACCGCCCGUAAACGAUGAGUGCUAGGUGUUAGGGGUUUCGAUGCCCUUAGUGCCGAAGUUAACACAUUAAGCACUCCGCCUGGGGAGUACGACCGCAAGGUUGAAACUCAAAGGAAUUGACGGGGGCCCGCACAAGCAGUGGAGCAUGUGGUUUAAUUCGAAGCAACGCGAAGAACCUUACCAGGUCUUGACAUCCUUUGACCACCCUAGAGAUAGGGCUUUCCCCUUCGGGGGACAAAGUGACAGGUGGUGCAUGGUUGUCGUCAGCUCGUGUCGUGAGAUGUUGGGUUAAGUCCCGCAACGAGCGCAACCCUUGACCUUAGUUGCCAGCAUUCAGUUGGGCACUCUAAGGUGACUGCCGGUGACAAACCGGAGGAAGGUGGGGAUGACGUCAAAUCAUCAUGCCCCUUAUGACCUGGGCUACACACGUG
Molecule: ribosomal RNA, 1215 nt
Filed under: uncultured Bacillus sp.
Lineage: Bacteria; Bacillati; Bacillota; Bacilli; Caryophanales; Bacillaceae
Description: bacterial SSU rRNA
Rfam family: Bacterial small subunit ribosomal RNA
Source: RNAcentral